CCAAGUUGUCUUUAAGCUCUCGCAACUUGAAUGAAAGGUGGAGAGCGCGGGGUGGAAGAGGGACAGCUUGGAAAAACAGAGCUGCUAAGCUGCCGGUGGCCGGGGGGGAGCCGGCUGGGAUAUCCCGGUUCCCCCCCGCACGCACCAGACUUUUUGAGGAUGGGAAAGCCCAACACGACGGCGUGGGUCUGCCCCCAACAGCUCCCGCUCCAGGGCCCGCUGUCCUCCCCCGGAGAUCUCAGGAAGCGAGCAGCCGGGGUUGGAUUUCACGUUGGUUCCUGUGCUUGCUUCUCCGAAGUCUUUUUGCCCGCGACAGACUGGAUCCCACGCACAGUUCCCCUCCGGAGCUGCAGUGUCGAAUGCACGAGAUGAAAGCUUGCUCCAUUUCCCGUUAGUCCUUCUGAGCGUUCAGCAGGAAGAUGACCGCGUAGCCAAUAGCCAUGUCUAUUUUACUGGCACCUCCAGAUUUUAUGCAGUGUCUGAAUCUCAGCAGGCACCUCACGCCUGCUAAUGGCUUUGCAAGUCAGCCAAUCAAUUGGUUAUUUACAGCAGGCAUGUCUCAAAACUGUCGGGUCAAGUUUUCCUACCCUUACGUAUUUUGUUCAGAGGAACACAUAAAUCCUGUCCUGCCAUUUGCAGCUUAAACCUUCUGAGUGUGAAGCCAGUGGGUUAAAGUUUCCAGUGAUAGUAGCAAACUAUAUUUUAAAGAGUUGCUCUCCUGACUCUCAGGGACUUUGGCACUCUGAGUCAUGAAUCAGUUUGCUUCAUGCAGCAAGAUUUAUAGGCGUUAAGCUCUCCUUUUGGUGUCCUUUAGCUCCACAGUUUGAAGCCGUAACCACGGAAAUUGAGACCUCUCCGUCGUUCCAGUGUUUUUCUAUUUAAUGUGCUCUUCUAGAAAGCCACGAUGGUGUCUUAAUUAGAAGCUCUGCAGUUAGAUAUAAGAAGAGGAGUAGAAUUGCUUCGCUUGCCAGGAUUGAUCCUGCAGCUCCGAAGUUCACAUGUUCGUGCAGGGGAGAUGCAGCCCUGGCAUAAGGGGAACUCUGGAUCUCAAUAACAAGUCUCCAAAGACUCGAAUGGCCCAGGAAUUUGGAGCUGUGGGUUUCUAGGUGCUAGAGCAACACGAUUCAAAGCUAAACAAAAGACCUCCCAACCUUAAGGACUUUAAAUGCGAACAACUGAAGAACAACGGUUCGUAGGGCACCUUCCAUGUACUAAAGGCAUUUCGGAAAGCACGGGGUAAUUCCUGGGCACACCACUGAUAAGUGGGAGAGACAGGAUCACGCUCAUCUUUCUGCUCAGCCUGUAUUGGUAUCUUUUCAACACAUAUGUAUGUUUAGGAUUGUGUGUGUGGGGAAGCUCUAUUGUAAAAGCAGGCGAGGGAAGUAAAAAUAAAUCUAUUUGCCAAAGCCAUGAACAUUGUACUACGUCUCAGUGCUUCAAAAAACGAAGUGCUUGCAAAAGGAGACUACCUGUAAAGACACAAAGUGGAGAUUUUUGUUGGUCCUAUGUCAGGAAAUAAGCCUGUUCUCUACCAGGACGUAAAGUAAUUUUGUAACUGAUAAAAUAGUGCAGAUAUGCCUUGCACUUUCAACAUUUCUAGAUUCUGGAAAAGAUGAUCUUAUAAAUCAAAGCUCUUCAAGUGACCUUGCCCCACCACUUAAAAUUAAAUCUAAUUUAAUGGGUGAUUGAAAAAAUAAAAAUCUGACCUUCAAGAUUUGGACUGAUACACAAAAUUCUGCAUCAACAAAAAUACAGAUACUUCUCUCAGUCUGGGGCCUGUUCAAAAUAGCACAUGAUUCAUCUUUACUUCUUCCUUUUCCAAAGCUUCCAGAAGAAGAGAUUGGACCUGCUGGACAGUGACGAUCCUGUUGCAAAGGGAUGCGCAAACAUGACAACGCAAGCGAAGGAGGACUGAAUCUUUGGAGUUAGCCUAAAACCUGCUGAUGUUGCGUGGGUUUAACUGUGUCUAUCAGAGCCGCAGGGUUCUGCGCUGGAGGGAAGCGUGCCUUGAAAGGAAAAGCUUAAUGAACUUUAACCAGCCUUCCAAGAUCUUUAUUAGUUGCCUCUUUUUCAAAUUAAAUUCACGCUGGGCCGGGUGGCUUGAGCAGCGCGAGCUGCUGCCGCGCGCUAAGCGCCAAAGCAGGCUUUAAUUGGCUGUUUAAAGGAGAGCAGGGCCCCCGGCGCGCAGCGAGGGGCCCCCGGCCGGGACCCGGCGGCACCUUCACGGCUCCAACGGCAACAUAAGGCUCCAGAUCUUCCGCCCGCCAGCCCGAACGGCUCUGCGCUGCGGCGGCGCGGGUCCGCUUUCCGGCGGCGGCAGGAGCAGCAAAGCUUGGACUAGAAGGCCGGUCGGUCCGUAGCUGCGAGCUGGCUCCAGAUGCCGCUUCCAGAGGUAGAGCAGGAAGAGCCUCCAUGAGCGAGGCCGGGGACGCCUGCUCACGAAGCUGAAUGCAGGACUUUUACGAAGAUUUUCUUUGUGCUGGUCGCAGCUCAGCUUCAUAGAUCACAAAUUAGUCGCAGGUGUCAACGACCGUCUCCGGAGCAGUGAAGGCCAGACGAAGAUGAGCAGGUCACUUGUCCCGCAGAAGAAUUUUGAUCUGAAAAAUGCAUUACAGGGUCACCAGCGGUGAUGCCGGAGCUAAGGUUGCAGACAGGCCUGCCGUGACAGUGGGGAGUCCUUGGCCUCAAGCCCCACCGGGGCUUGGCCUCCCGGGAGGACCUUUGAGCAGCACGCAGGCUUGCCUGCAGACACCUCCCCUGUCCGGCCCGGCCCACAGGACCGAACAGCAGUGCCGGAGGCCUGAGCAAGACCAGGAAGAUGGGGAGCGACGGCUUUUGAGCGCCGUGACCGCCGGUCGCCGUCCUGCUGGUGGCAUCUCCUGGUGGCAGCGGUGGUGGUGCCUGGGGGGCUUCGCUCGGACCCCGCGGGGAACGGCACCCCGGUGGCGUCUUGGCCCACAAAGCUCUUAUUUCUCCCUUUGCUGAGGAGGCAAAGAGAAGUUUUGCGCUGUCAGAAAGUCUUGAGCCGUCUGUCACGCCUUCUGCCCAUGCAAAGUUCUACCUCCCUCUUCUCCUCCAUCCCUUACUUCCACUCCCGUCCCUGCCCGGCGCGCGUCCGCUGCGGUUCUGCACCUUCCUCCCGCCUCUCCCCGCUUCCCGCGCGGCAGCGAGCCCUGCGGACGGGGGAGCUGCUCGCUUCCCCCGCGCGGGCGGACGCUUCGGGGGUCUCCUGCCUCCUCGCUCCGCCUAGCAGCCGAUUUUAUCUGCCCCCGGGGGCGGGUUUCGUAACGCGCCAGACAGCGCGGAGGUGCGGAGGCUUCCGGCCCUCGCGCUAACCUGCAUUCCAGCAUUAAAGAUAAUGGAUGCAAUGGAAAAUCAAUGGAGAAUAUGUAACUUUAUCCCAUUCAUAGCUUCAUAUUGCAUUACACUGUGGCCUUCAGAUACAUAAAAAUGAUAUAUGGCUGAAUUUGGCAGGAAAAAAAAAGAACACGAGAAGCAAAUAUCUUUGGUAAGGAUCACAGUCUAGGUAUAACCAAAAUAGAAAAUAAACCUGCAUAUCUCA
This is a long non-coding RNA of Rhea pennata, 3562 nucleotides long. RefSeq lists it as uncharacterized. The record is from RefSeq and is a predicted model, not a curated record. The transcript has 2 exons. NCBI's taxonomy places the organism in Eukaryota, Metazoa, Chordata, Aves, Rheiformes, Rheidae.